UCUUCUGCUGAUCUAGUCCAAGUUCCACUGCCUGACAUUUCAGAACUUCUGGAUGCCUACAGCCCUUAUUUCAGAAAGUGAUAAAUGCCCUGGAGACCAAUCAAGAAAGCCAACAAACUUAGACUUUGUUUCACUUUGGAAUUUUGCAGGCUUUGGCUCAUGCUGUUCCCUCUGCCUGAAAUGUCCACUCCACCUAGCCUACCUGGGGAACGAAUGUCUACACAUCAAGGAGGAUGUCUGUCCUGACUCCCAGUGGAAGUGACUUCCUGUUACUAUGGUCAGACUCACCAAGUAUGUCAAAACAACUCUGGGGG
Mirounga angustirostris (Northern elephant seal) is the source of this 314-nucleotide long non-coding RNA. RefSeq lists it as uncharacterized. The record is from RefSeq and is a predicted model, not a curated record. The transcript is spliced from 3 exons. Lineage: Eukaryota; Metazoa; Chordata; Mammalia; Carnivora; Phocidae.